This 73-nucleotide non-coding RNA is filed under the name bovine gut metagenome. The record is from RNAcentral.
ACACAGGGGUGCCUUCGGGCUGAGAUCAUACCCUCGAACCUGAUCCGGACAAUGCCGGCGUAGGAAGUUUAGG